GACGAACGCUGGCGGCGUGCUUAACACAUGCAAGUCGAGCGGUAAGGCCCUUUGGGGUACACGAGCGGCGAACGGGUGAGUAACACGUGAGUAAUCUGCCUUUGGCUUGGGAAUAACUUCGGGAAAUCGGGGCUAAUGCCUGAUGUUUACUGUCUGCUGCAUGGUGGGUGGUGGAAAGAUUUUUUGGCCAGGGAGUGAGCUCGCGGUCUAUCAGCUUGUUGGUGGGGUAAG
RNAcentral lists this ribosomal RNA (231 nucleotides) under uncultured bacterium. RNAcentral's name for it is "partial 16S ribosomal RNA". It matches the Rfam family "Bacterial small subunit ribosomal RNA", at positions 28 to 261 of the family's 1533-position model. The record is from RNAcentral.